AACGAACGCUGGCGGCAGGCUUAACACAUGCAAGUCGAACGGGUGUAGCAAUACAUCAGUGGCAGACGGGUGAGUAACACGUGGGAACCUUCCUAGGGGGUACGGAACAACUCAGGGAAACUUGAGCUAAUACCGUAUACGUCCGUAAGGAGAAAGAUUCAUCGCCCCUAGACGGGCCCGCGUCGGAUUAGGUAGUUGGUGGGGUAACGGCCUACCAAGCCUACGAUCCGUAGCUGAUCUGAGAGGAUGAUCAGCCACACUGGGACUGAGACACGGCCCAGACUCCUACGGGAGGCAGCAGUGGGGAAUCUUGGACAAUGGGCGCAAGCCUGAUCCAGCCAUGCCGCGUGAGUGAAGAAGGCCUUAGGGUUGUAAAGCUCUUUUACCAGGGACGAUAAUGACGGUACCUGGAGAA
This 415-nucleotide ribosomal RNA is filed under the name uncultured bacterium. RNAcentral's name for it is "bacterial SSU rRNA". It matches the Rfam family "Bacterial small subunit ribosomal RNA", at positions 29 to 486 of the family's 1533-position model. The record is from RNAcentral.